UUUGUUUUAAUGUAUUUCAGAGGAAGUUUUGUUUUUAUAGUUAAUAACUUUGUUUUGUGGAUAGGCAUAUUAGUUCAAGUCUUUUAAUAGUUAUACUGUACAAGCUAGAGGAGACCAAAGUGUCUUUACUUAUGGGAUCUCAGUUAUGACUUCUGAGUAGCUAAUACAACAAACACAAGGUUAGAAAGAACAACCCGUCUGCUAAGGGAAUGGACUGUGUUAGUCUAUAGAGAGGAGGAUUAUAUCUGCUGAUGAUGUGGUAAAAGAUCAUGUGAAGCUGAAACUUGUGGAUGUGUCAAAAAGCGUGAAUGCGACAGAAAUGAGAUUGAGAUGAAAUCAGACAUUCUUGGAGAACACAUGGAGAGCUUAUGUGGAAGUGGUUACUUCAGUCAAAUAAUCUGUUCAGAGAUCUGUAUAAAUCGGAGCACAGGAGCGGCUUGUGAAUCGUAAAGGACAGUAGCAAGAAGGACCUCAGCUUUUCUCCUCUCUCUGUAAGACU
This is a long non-coding RNA of Tympanuchus pallidicinctus (lesser prairie-chicken), 499 nucleotides long. RefSeq lists it as uncharacterized. The record is from RefSeq and is a predicted model, not a curated record. The transcript is spliced from 3 exons. NCBI's taxonomy places the organism in Eukaryota, Metazoa, Chordata, Aves, Galliformes, Phasianidae.